GACCUAUAGCAGUAGACGGAAAGCUGUCAUCUCCACGAGGAGAAUAUAACCUAAAAGACAUUUGACUGAGUUCGAAUUUAUGCUGUAGCAUCUCCAUUCCAAGAAGCAUUCAGACAACGGCGAAAGUCAAAUCUAGCGUGGAUCGAACAAAAAUCGGUGAAGAAAUCGAACAUUCCCGUAAGGAACGCAUGACAAGCAGGACAUCAGGUCAAGUUCGGGUUCGAUCUCGUAAGACAGCACUAUUUUCGGAAGAAUUGAGGCUACUGCACAAGAUUGAUUCGCGCUUUCCGUGCUCAGAGCUAAUUGCGAAGAGGAAAUCUCCAAUAGAACGGAACAACGAAACUAGGAUCGUCCAGGUGAAGGACGUGACCGGUAGGACGAAUUCUUGAAGCUCUCCGAAG
Molecule: long non-coding RNA, 401 nt
Organism: Topomyia yanbarensis
Lineage: Eukaryota; Metazoa; Arthropoda; Insecta; Diptera; Culicidae
Exons: 3
Source: RefSeq, a predicted model, not a curated record